Molecule: ribosomal RNA, 472 nt
Filed under: uncultured bacterium
Lineage: Bacteria
Description: bacterial SSU rRNA
Rfam family: Bacterial small subunit ribosomal RNA
Source: RNAcentral
UAGGGAAUAUUGCGCAAUGGGCGAAAGCCUGAUCCAGCCAUGCCGCGUGUGUGAAGAAGGUCUUCGGAUUGUAAAGCACUUUAAGUUGGGAGGAAGGGUUGUAGAUUAAUACUCUGCAAUUUUGACGUUACCGACAGAAUAAGCACCGGCUAACUCUGUGCCAGCAGCCGCGGUAAUACAGAGGGUGCAAGCGUUAAUCGGAAUUACUGGGCGUAAAGCGCGCGUAGGUGGUUUGUUAAGUUGGAUGUGAAAUCCCCGGGCUCAACCUGGGAACUGCAUUCAAAACUGACUGACUAGAGUAUGGUAGAGGGUGGUGGAAUUUCCUGUGUAGCGGUGAAAUGCGUAGAUAUAGGAAGGAACACCAGUGGCGAAGGCGACCACCUGGACUAAUACUGACACUGAGGUGCGAAAGCGUGGGGAGCAAACAGGAUUAGAUACCCCCGUAGUCCCUGAGCGGGCUGGCAAGGCGCAU